GGUUCCAUAGUGUAGUGGUUAGCAUGUCUGCUUUACAUGCAAAAGGUCCUGGGCUUGUGCCCUAAUGGAGCCA
This 73-nucleotide transfer RNA is filed under the name Pteropus alecto (black flying fox). It matches the Rfam family "tRNA". Rfam says of the family: Transfer RNA (tRNA) molecules are approximately 80 nucleotides in length. The record is from Rfam by way of RNAcentral. Lineage: Eukaryota; Metazoa; Chordata; Mammalia; Chiroptera; Pteropodidae.